AAGUCGUAACAAGGUUUCCGUAGGUGAACCUGCGGAAGGAUCAUUAACGAAUAGUUCUUCGGAACAUUUCAUCCUUACACACCUGUGAAUUUUUAAAAAGAUACUUUGCUUUGGUCAGACUUUUGUUAGUUUGGCCAGAGGUAUACAAACUCCAAAUUUUAUUUUUAAACAUGAGUCUGAAUUGAAGAAAAAGAAUAAAUUAUUCAAAACUUUCAACAACGGAUCUCUUGGUUCUC
This 236-nucleotide unclassified non-coding RNA is filed under the name fungal sp. RNAcentral describes it as "partial contains small subunit ribosomal RNA, internal transcribed spacer 1, and 5.8S ribosomal RNA". The stretch from base 1 to 46 matches the Rfam family "Eukaryotic small subunit ribosomal RNA", at positions 1786 to 1831 of the family's 1831-position model. Lineage: Eukaryota; Fungi. The record is from RNAcentral. RNAcentral also lists the same sequence under 1 other name.